UACGUAGGGUGCAAGCGUUAAUCGGAAUUACUGGGCGUAAAGGGCGCGUAGGCGGCGAACCAAGUCAGAUGUGAAAGUCCUGGGCUUAACCUGGGGACUGCAUUUGAUACUGGUUUGCUUGAAUUCGGGAGAGGAUAGCGGAAUUCCCAGUGUAGAGGUGAAAUUCGUAGAUAUUGGGAAGAACACCGGUGGCGAAGGCGGCGCUCUGGACCGAGACUGACGCUGAGGCGCGAAAGCGUGGGGAGCAAACAGG
Molecule: ribosomal RNA, 253 nt
Filed under: uncultured prokaryote
Description: partial 16S ribosomal RNA
Rfam family: Bacterial small subunit ribosomal RNA
Source: RNAcentral